ACCAGACUCCUACGGGAGGCAGCAGUGGGGGAUAUCGCACAAUGGGGGGAACCCUGAUGCAGCGACGCCGCGUGGGUGAAGAAGCGCCUCGGCGCGUAAAGCCCUGUCAGCAGGGAAGAAAAUGACGGUACCUGAAGAAGAAGCCCCGGCUAACUACGUGCCAGCAGCCGCGGUAAUACGUAGGGGGCAAGCGUUAUCCGGAUUUACUGGGUGUAAAGGGGGCGCAGACGGCGAUGCAAGCCAGGAGUGAAAGCCCGGGGCCCAACCCCGGGACUGCUCUUGGAACUGCGUGGCUGGAGUGCAGGAGGGGCAGGCGGAAUUCCUGGUGUAGCGGUGAAAUGCGUAGAUAUCAGGAGGAACACCGGUGGCGAAGGCGGCCUGCUGGACUGCAACUGACGUUGAGGCCCGAAAGCGUGGGGAGCAAACAGGAUUAGAUACCCCCGUA
This 445-nucleotide ribosomal RNA is filed under the name uncultured bacterium. Its description in RNAcentral is "partial 16S ribosomal RNA". It matches the Rfam family "Bacterial small subunit ribosomal RNA", at positions 330 to 792 of the family's 1533-position model. The record is from RNAcentral.